CUGAAGAGUCUCUGAGGAAGAGCUCGUGUGCUUAGAUUGUAAUUCUUUUCUUUUUCUUGGGCUGCGACGUGUUCACGGCCUUGUUGCUUCCACCUCUCUCCACAACAGCUGCUGCCGCUUGGGCUUCUUUCCAUCCGCUGUCCUCUCCCCCGAAAACGGAGUUUUGGGCACGGGCACAAGAGCUCACACAUCACACGCAGGCACGCAUACACAGAAAGCGGGAGUACAUGCAAAACAAAACAAAACCCACGCAAACAUAUAUAGCCGUAUACCGAAGAAGAAAAAGAUAUAUACUUUGGAAGUCACAGAGCGAAUAUACCGCACAGCACGGACAAAUCUUAGUACGCUUCGCUUCCCCAGGAAUCAUCUCGAGACCUGCGUGUUGCGCACUUCUUCUCUCCUGCCCGUUUUUUUUUUCGUUUCCCUUGACCUCGUAUGGUGGGUUGUUUUCCCUUGGCUUUACUCUUGCCGUUUCUUGCACUGUCUUCCGUUUUACUUCCUUCUGUCAUCACCGCUCUGCCACCAACUUUUGGUUGUUCCUUUCGUGACCUUUCGUCGCCGCAUUGUGUGCCCUUGGUUUCUCUCUCCUCGGUGUCACCUCCCUUCCGCGGUCGCUCUCGUUGUUCUCACUUGUUCCCCAUACGCUGUUUCGUCCUUCGAUUUUGUUUCUCUCGGUUUUGAUUUGGUGUUGGUUUCGCUUCUCCGUGGACGCGCACAGACCUACGCAAACCCGCACGCGCAUAGGGAGACGGUUGUGUCUUCCCUUCUUUCUUCCUGCUCCUCCUUCUAUUCCCUUUGACGGUUCUUCUUCAUCUCUUUGCUCGCUCUAUACACCUCAUCAUCGGUGCAUCCAACGCUUCCGCGUAAGUUGCAUACGGAGUUACUCGACACCCCACACCCUUAAGACGGACAGACAUACAUACACACAUAUAUAUAUAUAUAUAUAUGUAUAUAUGUAUAUAUAUAGGACCACCGUCGUUCUCUUCUUUUUCCUCUAUCUUCUUCAGCGGCACAAAAAAGACAUCGACGCGCGCACGUUUGCUGUGCUCCUCCUUUUGUGUCUCGCUGCGCCGCGUGGCACACACAUACGCACACUAACGAAAAGAAAAAACCCGCUGGUGUUCCUUUUUUUGUACAUUUCUCUUUCAGUCUUCUGCUACACUCCUCCGCCCUUCCUUUUUUUCUUCCCCGCUCAUACCCGCUCAUACCCGCUCUUCCGCCCUCCUUCCCCUUCUUUUCUCUAAGUGUCUCUGACUGGCUGUCCUAUUUGGAACUAAAGACUACCAUAAAGCGCUGCAACGGCACCACUCCCUCUCCUCCUCCCCCUCUUUCCAUCGUCGUCUUUUGUGUGCGUGUGUGCUUUUUUCUUCCUCCCUCUUUCUCUGCUUCCUAGUGCAUCGUUAUAACGCCGUUUUUUUUUUUGUUCAUUCGCUUCAUCUCUUUACUGCCGCCGUACCGUCACGGAUAUCUGGGCGCUUUUUUCUCUCAGUUUGCCUUGUGCAAUUGAAAGGCGUCGCGGUGACGUUGUGGCGAGUGGUGCGUGUAGGUGAGCAAGCGCCCUAAGGCGAGCCAGGGCGAUCGCUCUCUUUUUAUAUUCUGCAACGUUCUUCCAACCGCCGUCGAGGAGGCGCUGCGCACCGAGCUGAUCAUCUGCUCGCCCACCGCACACCUGUCCCGCUUCCCAUUUCACUUCUCUGGACACCUGCACUGCCCACUCGUCGCUUCGUCGCCAUCAAUUUUCGUGCUCGGUUGCUCGAUCGUGCCACCGACAUCGUCUCAUUCUCUUCCUGCUUUGCUCGGUCUAUCUCUUUCUUCUCGUGCGUGUCUGUUCGGAGCUCGCCCUCCCCCUCUCUUUUCCCUGUUCCUCUGUCUCUGCGUGUUGUCAACGUGACUUCCUUCUCCUCUUUUCUCUGUUGCUGUUGCCCUCUUCUCCCUUCCUUCCCCUCAUUGUACGUGUUUCUCUCUCUCUGGCCACAAUUCCCCUCUUGGUGCGGAGCGGAACCUUUCUUUGUUGUUGUCAUAUUCGUGUGAUCGACUUUCGUCUUGCGUCGCGGCUACUGCACACCCUCUAUACCCUCCUCCUACACGGUGGCUUGUUAGGCGCGCCAGCCGCAUCAUCACACGCAUCAUUGUGGCACCUUUUUAUUGAGGUGUCUGUGCAUCAGUCGCGCCACGGCCGUGGCUCCAUUUUCGCGCGUAUUCUUCUUGCGCCGCACUUCUGUGUGUCUGUGUGCACGCGCUCUCUCCCGCAGGUCGCACCUUCCCCCCUCUUACGAAGAUGUCUUCGGCGCACAAACCAACGACGCAGGAGGCGAUCAACUUCUUCAAGCAGUAUCGAGAGAAGUUCCAGCGUAGUAGCAGCGGGGGCAAUUUGCCUAGUCAAAAUAGUGUCAAUGCAUCUCCCCAACAGAACAUUGUGACGCAGGUGCAGCAGGUGGACGUGGUGCCUGACUCGACAACCCGCAGCAUUAUUCCGAUGAACCGCCGAAAUGGGACGACGACCACGCGGCUCGAUUUGCUUCGCAAGUCGCCCACGAACUGCUCGCCGUGCUUGGUUCAAGAAGUUGAGAUUAAGCCGCUGCUGCCGCCUCUGCCCUUUGCCUCCGUGCCGAAGGUGACGUUAGUGCUGGACGUGGAUGAGACGCUGGUGCACUCCACCUUUCAGCCAAGUUCGGAUGUCGUGUACGACAAGGUGCUGCUCGUGGCAUCGGAAGGGAAGACGUACACUGUCAGCGUCAAGUACCGGCCCUACCUGGAGGACUUUUUGCGCUUUGUGAGCCGUCGCUUCGAAGUAGUCAUUUUCACUGCUAGCAUGCGCGCCUACUGUGACAAGCUCAUGGACGAAAUUGAUCCGCACGGUAUUCUGGGCAACUUGCGUCUAUUCCGCGAGCAUUGUACCUUCUGCGAGCGCUCUUACGUCAAGGAUCUCCACCGACUCGGUCGCGAUCUUCGGAGAGUUGUCAUUCUCGACAACAGCCCAGCCGCCUACUCGUUUCAGCAGCGUAACGCCAUUCCCAUCAAGACGUGGAUCAACGACCCGAAAGACCGCGAGCUGUUCUUACUGCUCCCGCUUCUUGACAGACUCGCGAUGUGCGACUCCGUGUACAGCGAGCUUGAUCCGUACAACGCGAGGGGAUGGGACUACCUGUGAGGUACAUUCGACAGCUCAUAUGCGUGCGUUCUCCGCCCGUCGUUCACACUAUUGCAUCACCGUUCGGUGUCCGCAGCGUUGUCGAAGCGCUUCUCCAUGUCCGCACGUGCCAUUUCUCUCUCUGUGAUAAACUGCGUAGGAGUGCUUGUUUUCGCCUGCAGCGCGCCCGUCUUUCUGAGGCGGCCUCUUUUCCUCGUCUUUCCUGCUUUUGCGUGACUUUGCUGUGCGUGUGAUUUAUACUUCCUGCCCGUUCGGCGCUGAAAUUAACAGCAACAGGAGCCCGCCGAGUUCUGCAUUUCCUUUUCUCUUGUUCUCUUUUCAGAGCGCUGCUGUUCCACCGCUGGCUGCAUGUAUAUGAGGCGCUCUGUGUCACUAAUGAGAGCUUCUCUCCUCUCCUCUCUGUAGACGUGUGCCGACGCCUCUCACUUCUGCUCUCCUUGCAUGUGCGGUGCUUCUUGCUGGUAUUGCGGGAAGUAGUUUACACGGCAUGAUUACAUGUGUCGUUGAUGUCUGUGGCUUCGCUCGCGUGCACAUCUGAGUGCGUGCGCGCGCGAGAGACGCAGAAGUUUGAUCGUCUUUCGUGUUUUUCUUUUCCCUCUAUCGCCUAAUACUCGAUCGGCUAGAUGCGAUGUGUGAAGAUGCCACUUUGCUUGCCCCCCCCCCCCAUCCUCCCUCCCCUGUUUUUUCUUGACGUUGAGCGCCUAGGCAGUGUGCAUGUGAGCGUCAAGCUGCGGUGGCGAGCGAAUGACCAAGUCGCUUCCCAAUCGUCUUCACUGGUGCGUGUCUUCUCUCUGCGUUCCCCUCUUUUACUUUGUUUGUAUGCUGUGCCUCGUACCGUUCGCCUUCUCCGCCCUCCCCCCCGUAUGCAUGUGUGUAUGUCUAUCGGUCGCUUCGCGGAAGGGAAAGGGGAGACGGAUGCCGCACUCCGCUCCUCCACUUCAAAUGGCAUUUUCGCCUCCUCCGCUUCUGCCCGCUCGUUCAUCGCGUCUUCCUUGCCGAGCUCCAUCCUCCCCUAUCCGCUCUCUUCCUUUUUGGACGUGCUUUGUGCCGGGAGGUGAGAGCACGGGGAGCGAUAGACGCACAUGAACGCAUGCGCGCACAUGUAUACACUUGCACACACACGCACACACAACCCCACUCACACAUACAGACAGCAACAGACAUCUUUGUUUCCGUGAACCAGCCAUAACAUUGUUUUCCACUCAGGGGCUUCUUCUCUUCAUCAUGCGCCUCGUGCUCGCUGCGCGUCACGCAAAGCAGUCCUCCUCAACUGACGUCGCUAAUCGGAAACGGCGCACAUGUAGACAUCAGGAGAUGCAUGUUUCGAUGCGCAAGAGCGUUUUGUUUCGCUUCGUGCUCUUCCCCGGCUUUUCUCUGCGAUCAUCUCUUUUUUCGGUUGUUGUUUCCUCCUCGUUGCCGCCCUCUUUUUUUUCCUUUUUUUUUCUCGAAUUUCAUGGCUUCCUCUCCACUUGCUCCCCCACCCCUCUCACUCGUGCGCUGGCGCGCCCCUGUUCUCGUCUGCCUCGCCGACAUCUUUCUUUUUUCUCGCGGUGGCUUUCGUGCAUUACGACGAUGGUGGGUGGGUGUACAGUCGCCCACUGUGGGCGGUAUAAACAGGGUCCGGUGCUCGCACUCUCUGUGCGGGAGAAGCCAGUCGACCACCCAGCCCCUGCCCCUCUCCCUGCCGAUGCCGAGCCCCUCCCCCCCCUCCCUGCUGGUGGUGUCAGGGGGAGGCACCCACCUAGGUAGGGAUGCCAGAGCGAUGUGUGGCUGCUGAUGUCGGCGGUCGUGUCCUGGGGCGGCGUUGCGUCGGCGCGACCCGCGACCGUGGGCACGUCUGUGGCAUCCAUAUGAGAAUAGGCAAAGCAUCAGGGUGACUCGAAGGUACCUCACCCCUACCCCCGACCCACACACGCCCCACACCGGUGUGGGGAGGCUGAGCCACCGCGAGGGGGGGGGGGCGGGGAGGGAUGCGCGAGGUGGCGUCUGGGCAUCACAUGAGCGGCUGCGAGGCGACCUGCGGGGGCCGAGGUGUGAGUGGACAGAGUAUGAGGCCGAGGCGGUGCUUCGAUGAUCGGGCCGGCGCGCUGGUGUAGCGCGCGUGUGUCUACGGCUGCAUGGGCACCACACACGGGACGGGUCUGUGGCAGGCCGGAGAGGGCCGGGAGGGUAGAGGGACGUUUGACUCCUGCUCUAUUGCAGCAUGCAUAUACGGAAGAAGGCGAAAACGAAACGACGACGGGUCCCUUCUAUAACCUAAUCCUGGGUGCUUUGGACCCCGUGCGUACGCGUGUUUCUGGUGCCAUCUCUCUUUCUGGAUGUGUGCCGCCACGCUUGCCUGUGUAGUUUGGGCCAAGGUCCUGUCGAUUGAACGGUGCACACUUUUGUGUGCUUUUUUUUGUUCGUGUGUGUCUUCUCUUCCGUUCAUCCAGCUGUGUCGUUUUCUCAUUCGGUCGGCACGUAUGUAUGUAUUCGUGUUUGUGAGCAAGGAUAUCUUCAGGUGCGUCUGGGGUAGACGGUCUGUCUUUUUCUCCAGAACGUUUUCUCUCGCUGCGCCUUUCUCUAUCCUCUGCCUUGCUGCCUUUCCCCAUGCGGCUGCAAGGAAGGUGAAGGAAUACUUUCGGUGACGCUGAUGUUCUCUUCGGUGCGCACUCACGGCGACUCUCGUUGCUGUGGACCCCUUCUCGUUUUCUGUCUUUAUUGUGCAUGUGUGUUUUCUCUCUCUAUGUGUUUGACUCUUCGGCAUCCUUCCUCCGCAUUCACAGGCGCCCAUAGGCAUGCAUGCCGAUAACGUGUGUCUGCAUUUCCCGCUAUCCACCCACAUUUAGCCGUUGUUGCACACGCGUACAUGCCUGUCUGCUUUUGUGGUGGCUUGUGUGCGAAAGUGCGAUCUCUUUCAUCCUCCCUCCCCUUUUCUCUCUCGAUCGUUUCACUUUUAUGUGUCGUUUAUCCGCUUCUCUGCCUCUGUGCCCCUCCUCUUGUGUUGCUUCGGAUUCGGUCUCUAUAUGCCCCUCCCCCAGUGUAUCAUAUGCGCUAUAUGCAACUGCUUUGCCCCGGCGCUGACUUUUCUCUGAGUAGGCGGCUUUUGUGGCCUCUGCCUCUCUCUACGGUCGCCACCUGCAUUCGCUCUCCGCAGGUAGGUUUGCGCAGGUUGGCGGAUGCGCGGCGACAAGAAGAAAAGCAUAUGUAGUGGCACACACACACACACAGGCGAAAGGCUUGACCGCUGGCUAGCCUUACUCCCUGACUUCUGCAUCAGAGCUUGUUCAUGAGUACCGUGGUUCCUCUGCAGAGUCUGACACACGACAGGGGAUGACAAUAGCGUUGUACGAAGGGGCGCAGAAUCUAGGCAACAAACCGCAAGAAGCGCCAAAGUCGUUCAUGGUCGCCGCAGACAGCGUCCUUUCUCUACAAUCACUCAUUUUACGUGAGUUGAUCCGCCACGUGCACGCGCUCCCCUUCCCCUCCCUUCCUCAG
RNAcentral lists this unclassified non-coding RNA (6628 nucleotides) under Leishmania donovani. RNAcentral describes it as "gene:LdHU3.26.0210(CDS-product:nuclear_lim_intera ctor-interacting_factor-like_protein)". The record is from RNAcentral. Lineage: Eukaryota; Euglenozoa; Kinetoplastea; Trypanosomatida; Trypanosomatidae.